Molecule: ribosomal RNA, 1280 nt
Filed under: metagenome
Description: bacterial SSU rRNA
Rfam family: Bacterial small subunit ribosomal RNA
Source: RNAcentral
AGUGUUUGAUCCUGGCUCAGAACGAACGCUGGCGGCAGGCCUAACACAUGCAAGUCGAGCGAGAACGGUAGCUUCGGCUACUUAUUAGAGCGGCGAACGGGUGAGUAACACGUGAGUAACCUGCCCCGUAGUCUGGGAUAACAGUUCGAAAGGACUGCUAAUACCUGAUAAGCCCCCGCGACUGCGGUCGAGUGGGGAAAAGGGGGGGAUCCUUCGGGACCUCUCGCUAUGGGAUGGGCUCGCGGCCCAUUAGGUAGUUGGUGGGGUAAAGGCCCACCAAGCCUGCGAUGGGUAGCUGGUUUGAGAGAGCGAUCAGCCACACUGGAACUGAGACACGGUCCAGACUCCUACGGGAGGCAGCAGUGGGGAAUCUUGCGCAAUGGGCGAAAGCCUGACGCAGCCAUGCCGCGUGGGUGACGAAGGCCUUCGGGUUGUAAAGCCCUGUUGAGGGGGGCGAAAGUGUUGGUGGCCAAUACCCACCGGCCCUGACGGUACCCCUUUAACAAGCACCGGCUAACUCCGUGCCAGCAGCCGCGGCAAUACGGAGGGUGCGAGCGUUGUUCGGAAUUACUGGGCGUAAAGCACGUGUAGGCGGUAGUGUAAGUCGGGUGUGAAAGCCCUGGGCUCAACCGAGGAAUUGCGCUCGAAACUACACUGCUGGAGUACGGGAGAGGGAUGUGGAAUUCCUGGUGUAGAGGUGAAAUUCGUAGAUAUCAGGAGGAACACCCGUGGCGAAGGCGACAUCCUGGACCGAUACUGACGCUGAGACGCGAAAGCGUGGGGAGCAAACAGGAUUAGAUACCCUGGUAGUCCACGCCGUAAACGAUGGGCACUAGGUGCAGCGGGUAUGACCCCUGCUGUGCCGCAGUUAACGCAUUAAGUGCCCCGCCUGGGGAGUACGGCCGCAAGGCUAAAACUCAAAGGAAUUGACGGGGGCCCGCACAAACGGUGGAGCAUGUGGUUUAAUUCGAAGCAACGCGAAGAACCUUACCUGGGCUUGACAUCCCUCGAAUCUGUCAGAGAUGACGGAGUGCCCUUCGGGGAGCGGGGUGACAGGUGCUGCAUGGCUGUCGUCAGCUCGUGUCGUGAGAUGUUGGGUUAAGUCCCGCAACGAGCGCAACCCUCGUCCUUAGUUGCCAUCAUUAAGUUGGGCACUUUAAGGAGACUGCCGGUGUCAAACCGGAGGAAGGUGGGGAUGACGUCAAGUCCUCAUGGCCCUUAUGUCCAGGGCUACACACGUGCUACAAUGGGCGGUACAAUGAGUCGCAAAACCGCGAGGU